Molecule: long non-coding RNA, 3286 nt
Organism: Rhineura floridana
Lineage: Eukaryota; Metazoa; Chordata; Lepidosauria; Squamata; Rhineuridae
Exons: 2
Source: RefSeq, a predicted model, not a curated record
GCCAGCUCCAAACAGAGGUAUUAAUAGAACUGUGCCUCAGAGGCUGGAAUGGUCACUCUUAUCCCUCGGAGCUUCUAGAACAAAGAAUUUCUUCCAAGGGAAGCAGCACAGAGAUCAUGCUGCCCUUACUAAGUUGUUGUGAACAGCAACCAGUUGCAGCAGGGGGAAUGUAUGGUGUCAUGGUGGGUUAUUAAGGGCAGGAGCAGUGUUGCAGAGAAGAACCAAGAUGUCAAAGAAAUUGUGAAAAUGUCUGGAAGAACACACUGCAGCCUUCCAACACAGCAGCCCUGCAGACCUCCCCAAACACCGCCGGUGGGGAAAGAAAGACAUUGCCAGGAUAGUAUGCACUGCAGUCAAUCCAAGAAAGAAAGAAGCAGAGUUCCAUUGGCAUGAAACAAUCAGUAAGUCCUGUAGAUCAUGGAGAAGCCAGUGCAUUCAGCUAAGUGUCAUGGCCCCGUCAGAGGACUCCUCAGAUGAGGACGACUCGGGAGUAACAGCAGCAGACCCAGGAGCAGCAGGAGACACGGAGGAGCCUCCUGAGAAUCCAGCUCCUUCUGCCCCUCAGCUGCAGAGCACCCCAGGGACAGCAGAGGCCCUGCAGCCAGACACAGACAGUGAACAGGAUACUCCCCCCUCACCUGCAGAACGUAGACAGCAGAAGGUCAGGCAGAAGAGAGGCAGGCCUGUCUCCUUAAGGCCCAAACGCUGAGGGCUCACACCUGCUGUCCAUCCUGCUCUUUAUAAGGCACACCUUGGCUGCAGCUUGUUGCUGACUGCAACGUCAGGCGUGGCUUUGUGUAGACCUAGUUUCCCUGCAGCAUCUCUUUGACUGACCUCCUUGGUAAUUGAUCCUGGACCUCCACUGACCUCGCUUCUGGACUUCUGACUCGGCAAGUACGCUUCGGAUAGGCCUGGCAGAUUUACAACCCGACUGCUGGCUAAGGACUUUCCUUCCCCGCCAAAGACCCAGGAAUUUCCAGCCCCCCCUGACACUGCUGAUGCAGUGUAGAGCUGACAUUAAGGUAGAACAUCCUAUAUCAGGGGAACCUGUGACUCUCCUGAUGUUGUUGGACUACAACUCCCAUCACUCCUGACAAUUGGCCAUGUUGGCUAGGACUGAUGGGAGUUGGAUCCAACAACAUCUAGAGGACAACAGGCUCCCUAUCCCUGUCCCACAUGGUGCCUAUCCAGCUUUUCCUUGAAAACCAAGGAGAGAAUAUUCUAUAAGUCAAGUGUGCACCUCCAGUUUGCUUAGGCAUCUUAUUCCCAUUCACUGGUUUAACAAGGUCCAUCUCCCCUUGUCUGAAGAUCUCAUAAGGUCCUAUGUUGUGCUGACCAAAAGCAGGAUGGGUGGACCUUGUGCAUCAGGAGUGCCAAGGUGCCACCCAUGCAAACACAUUUUGACUGCAUCACGUUAACACUGUUUUUGUAGCUAUGGAUAGUGGUCUCAAUUUCCCCAGACUAAUGGGAUAUACCUCUUAACGCCUGCCAUUCUAUUUGUGUGUAUGUGUUGCUGCAACCUCAGACUCCUCCAAGUUGAUGAGUUUAUUGAGCUACAGUACAGCUGCAACAACCCCAAUUCUUUAUGCUUAUAGACAAAAGCUGCAGUAGCAAACUGGUCACGACAUGCAUGAAUGAGACACCACUGCCCUUCAGCAGAAAACAAAAAGGGAGAAGUAGAUUUAUGUUUUAUAUAGUCAAGUUUAGGUUGGCAAAAAUUAUGGCUGUAAUAAAGAGAAUUACAGGGAGGGAAUAAAGGGCUCAAGCUGAAGGUCUUAUAAUGAGGAAUAAAAUAAUACAUUUCACCUAACAGAAGUACUGCUCAUAAUCAAUAAAUGUGAUCAUUUGAGAUUUGAAGUGAUCAUCUAAGCCCAAGAAACUAACACACUCACUCUCCUCCAGUGCCCUUCUUCCCCUCUCCUAUGGACAGAGCCUGGAUGCUAAUGAUGGAGGAUAGGGUGUCUUUAUGGCUUGGAUAAAACAGAAAAGAAUGGGAUGUUUCAUUUAUAACAGUGCAGAAAUUCAGUGCAAAAAAAAUUCCCUUCUGUCUUCCUGCUGCACAUUGGUUGUGGAAGUCACGCAUAUAUGAGUUUGCAAAUCACUCAGAAGGCAUAUAUAUCACACUUAGCAGAGAGAAGGUAAGUUCCAAAGAAUUAAUGAGAUUGGUCUUGAGUAAGAGUACAUCGUUUCAACUGUUAUGACUUGGUGGCUGACCUUUGACCAUCCAGAAGGUGUUGGACAACAACUCUUAUCAUCACUGGCCAUGUUGUCUGGGGCUGAUAGGAGUUAGAGUCCAACAACGUACGGAAGCCCACAGGUUAGCUACCCCUGAGUUAUGAUAAAAGAGUAAAUGAACUCUAAAAAACAAACUUUGUUUCAAAGUCCAGACAGUACAUGCCAGCCUCAUUUUUAAUGAACUGUGUAUUGCUUUGUGGCCAUUCAAGCGAAAGCACAAUCUCUCAGCCAACUUUGUCCUCACAAAGACCUGAGGAAAGCAAGAAGUUGUUCUUUCAGACUUGUUCUGUUAAUAUCGCCAAAUCUAUCUUUCAUGAUGAUGAUGAUGAUGAUGGAAGCAUCAAGUAAUAAGAAGCAUGCCCAUUAAUUGGUCCAAAUUUAUGCACAUGUAGCGGUAGCUGAAGAUCAGAAAUGUCCCCUAAGCUGUCCUUCACAGAUUAGGUGGCCUAAGAAAAGUAAGUAUUACAAGAAAACAAAAAGUUGAAUUGCAUACAGGUUCUCAGUGAGAUUGUGGUCUACACUAGGGAUGUUGCUAGACUAUAUCCUUGACUACUGGGCAGCCUGGCUGUGGCUAAUGAGAGUUGUAGUCUAAAAGUCUGGUAGGCCACAAUUUCUCCAUCCCUGGUCUACAUGCAAGAUCUGCAGGUGUACAACACGGCUCCUUUCUCAUUGUCAUAUCUUGUCAAACUUUUUCAUGAACUUGUCCAAGAGUUUGGAUUUGGAGACAUAAUCAAAUAAACCCAUCAGAAAGAACAACUUCCAGAAUUCAUCCCUGAUCUUUACAAGAAUAAAGUAUGCAGAGAAAUUGUGCAAGGUGAUGUCCACACAAUGUCAUAUGCAAUCUCCAUAAAAAUAAUGCCACUAGUAAUGAGAUUUAUGUUGUGCGCACAUCAAAGAUUCUUUGAGACAUGUUUGACAAAUAUUCCAAGUGGUCUUUUAUGAUAAAGGUGAACUGUGCAGAUUUACUCAUUGAUCUAAACGUAUGUACUAUCUGGGCUUUAUGUGAGGGCAUUUAUGUUUAGGUGUGAAAUUAUAGAAGUAUGCCAUAGAA